GACGAACGUUGGCGGCGUGCUUAAUACAUGCAAGUCAACUGAAGCAGUGGUAGCAAUAUCGCUGUGGAGGUGGCGCACGGGUGAGUAACACGUAGGUAAUCUGCCUUCAGGUCUGGCAUAACUCCGGGAAACCGGGGCUAAUAGCAGAUGAUGCAGCGGCUCGACAUCGAGACAGUUGUUAAAGCUAUGGCGCCUGAAGAUGAGCCUGCGUCUGAUUAGCUAGUUGGCGGGGUAACGGCCCACCAAGGCAACGAUCAGUAGCUGGUCUGAGAGGAUGAUCAGCCACACUGGAACUGAGACACGGUCCAGAAUCCUACGGGAGGCAGCAGUAAGGAAUAUUGCUCAAUGGGAGAAAUCCUGAAGCAGCAACGCCGCGUGAGGGACGAAGGGCUUUUGCUUGUAAACCUCUGUAGUGAGAGAAAAAAAUCCCAAUCUUUGGGACAUGAUGGUAUCUCAAAAGUAAGCCCCGGCUAACUACGUG
This 481-nucleotide ribosomal RNA is filed under the name uncultured bacterium. Its description in RNAcentral is "partial 16S ribosomal RNA". It matches the Rfam family "Bacterial small subunit ribosomal RNA", at positions 28 to 507 of the family's 1533-position model. The record is from RNAcentral.